RNAcentral lists this transfer RNA (75 nucleotides) under bacterium. Its description in RNAcentral is "tRNA-Gly". It matches the Rfam family "tRNA". From Rfam's summary of the family: Transfer RNA (tRNA) molecules are approximately 80 nucleotides in length. Their secondary structure includes four short double-helical elements and three loops (D, anti-codon, and T loops). The record is from RNAcentral.
GCGGGUGUAGCUCAGUGGUAGAGCACAACGUUCCCAACGUUGGGGUCGUGGGUUCAAGCCCCAUUACCCGCUCCA